GGGGCUAUAGCUCAGUGGUACAGCACUUGCCUUGCAUGUAAGAGGCAUUGGGUCCGAUCCUCAGUACCACA
Molecule: transfer RNA, 71 nt
Filed under: Marmota monax (woodchuck)
Lineage: Eukaryota; Metazoa; Chordata; Mammalia; Rodentia; Sciuridae
Description: tRNA.Ala
Rfam family: tRNA
About the family: Transfer RNA (tRNA) molecules are approximately 80 nucleotides in length.
Source: RNAcentral